GGAGAGAUGGUUGAGUGGUUGACAACCUCAGUCUUGAAAAUCAAUAUAGUUCGAAAAAAAGAACUAUUGAGGGUUCAAAUCCCUCUCUCCUCU
This is a non-coding RNA of Glycine max (soybean), 93 nucleotides long. NCBI's taxonomy places the organism in Eukaryota, Viridiplantae, Streptophyta, Magnoliopsida, Fabales, Fabaceae. The record is from Rfam.